Molecule: long non-coding RNA, 575 nt
Filed under: Homo sapiens (human)
Lineage: Eukaryota; Metazoa; Chordata; Mammalia; Primates; Hominidae
Description: non-protein coding lnc-MSRA-3:1
Source: RNAcentral
CUUUUGAAAACUGUGCUACUUCCUUCUGGCUUCCAUGAUUUUUGAGCCAGGUGCCAGGCAACUGGCAGCCAUCUCUAUCCUCCAGAGCCUGCUGAAUUAUCCACACUAGCCAAUCCUCAGCCUGUGGAGCCUGCCUCACCCAUUCCUUCCUGCAAAGCCCACAGUAAAGACUCUGCCUGCAUGCUCUUGCCUGCUCCUUCUGCCUCUGGUGCUUCCCCAUGUGGUUCUGCAUGCUCCUCCUCCAGGAAACUGUGAGUAACAAACUCUCUUUUCAAUGGCAGUUGUCUUCUGAUCUGUUGGCUUUACCACACAUAAAUAAUAAUAAUGCUUCCAUUUUAUAACAGAUAUAUGAAAAUCUACCCAAAUCCUCCUAUUUUGAGUCUCAGAUGUCUAAUCUUUCCCCCAACCCUACCUUUCACAUGAGAGACCUAGAAAGGCUGUGAAUUGUAUUUAUAUUGUAUUCAUGCAAUCAAUAGGAUUAAAUUUGGAGCCCAAGUAUUUGCUACACUGGUUCUACAGCUACAAGAGAGAAGAGGCUUGGCCGGGCACGGUGGCUCACGCCUGUAAUCCCAGUA